GUGGGGAAUAUUGGACAAUGGGCGCAAGCCUGAUCCAGCAAUGCCGCGUGGGUGAAGAAGGUCUUCGGAUCGUAAAGCCCUUUCGACAGGGACGAUGAUGACGGUACCUGUAGAAGAAGCCCCGGCUAACUUCGUGCCAGCAGCCGCGGUAAUACGAAGGGGGCUAGCGUUACUCGGAAUUACUGGGCGUAAAGGGCGCGUAGGCGGCUCUGUUAGUCAGGCGUGAAAUUCCUGGGCUUAACCUGGGGACUGCGCUUGAUACUGCAGGGCUUGAGGCCGAGAGAGGGUGGUGGAAUUCCCAGUGUAGAGGUGAAAUUCGUAGAUAUUCGGAGGAACACCAGUGGCGAAGGCGGCUCACUGGUCCAUUACUGACGCUGAGGUGCGAAAGCGUGGGGAGCAAACAGGAUUAGAAACCCUAGUAGUCC
RNAcentral lists this ribosomal RNA (425 nucleotides) under uncultured bacterium. Its description in RNAcentral is "partial 16S ribosomal RNA". It matches the Rfam family "Bacterial small subunit ribosomal RNA", at positions 354 to 796 of the family's 1533-position model. The record is from RNAcentral.